AUGAGUGAAACGUAUCGAGACACGAAGGGAGCGAAAUGCAGAUAUGCUAGGAUAUAUUCAACAAGUAUCAUUCUAUUAUCAUGAGAUCGACCUACUUCAAUAGGAAGUCCGACUAAUUAGUACAUAAUUGGACGGAAUGUAUUACCUCGCUGACAUUUUUACCUUAAUUAAUAUCUUUUAGCUCCUUAGAGGAAAAUUGCAAUUUCCUAGUGAAAUAAAGGAAUUGAUGGCAAGAGACUAUCCAGGGUGCAUCAAUGUAAGAAUUGAAGCAUACAUGUUUUGAGCUUGGGUCAUGCCACAAGUUAUCUUAGGCAUCUUCCAAAGGCAAGCCUAAUAGGUGUGUAAGAGUUUUUCAUAAGGUGAGUAAGUAAGAACAAUCAAUCACUUAAGGAUGGAUAUGUGGACAUACAAGUAAAUGGAUUGACAUUGGUAUUGGACUUAGUAAUGUUUAAACCGGUAUUGAACAUAAUGGAGGGAAAACUAAAGAACUCAAUUUCGAAAUAAGAUGUAGUUACAACCUCUUGGACGCGGAUAGAAACUGCUACCAUGAUAGGAGAAGCAAGUAGAAUCCUAUAAUUAAAGACAUGUCUUGGCCUCUCUUCUCGGUUUUACUUGUUCAUAAAGCUUGUCCUAUUGAGAGCAGAACUAUGUUGAAACUUAAAGAAGAGAAGGUCAGACUCUCCAGACAUUUGUCAUGCCUACAUAUGCAGAUACGAACUGAUAUCAUUUUGGGUAAUUUCUUAUUAUAUGUUCUAACUAAUAGAGUGUGGUUUAAUGGCUUUAUUGUUUUUAAUAAUGCUCAAUUAUGGUUAUGCAUAUUAUGCUUUCAUGUGGUAUCAAAGCAGGUCAAUAAUAGCCUUAAACUCAUUUACAGAUCAAAAUUGUAUUGUUUGAAUUCUGCUGCAUUUGUUUUCAAUAAUUUAUAUGUUUUAGUUUAUACAAUGUGUUGCGAAACCAGAUCUAGAAAGGAAAUAUGGUGUACAACCUGAAAAUGAAAAAAUAAUUUUUUAAGAUUUGGUUCAUUGUCCUUUUCUUAGUUUAUACACAGUGUAGUUUAUACACAUAAACAAGUAGAUUUGUUUCCAAAGGAAUCGCUUAUGAAAAUCAAAGUGUAGUUUAUACACAUAAACAAGUAGAUCUGUUUCCAAAGAAAUUUGUCUACUGGGUUCGUUAUAAACUAAUGUAUAGUGAGUAUCAUUUGCUUUAAGGUUAUAUUAGUAUUGAGAAUGUGAUUUGAGAUUAUACAUGAACUUUGCCUUAUUGAUGAUUAUGUUUAUUAUGGUGGUCAAGUACUUGUGAGACAAAUGUGUGUCGUAUGGGUGUGAUACUCUUGAACUCCAUAUUCCUCAGUCGGCCUACUAAUCCAAUUAUCCAUAAUAUGUUACUAGCAAUACCUAUAAUAGCUAGUUUGGAUUUUAUACAUGCAUUAUUGAUUGAGUUUUUUGUCUUCGCUUGAAAAUUCUGAAUAAAUAUGAACGACACUCAUGUCCGUAUAUGAAGGGAUUUAAUGGUUUUAAUGAUAGAAAGUUAUGAUUUUUGCAUGGUUAAAGAAGUUUGGCCAUCAUAAAGUUAAAGAUUGCUUGGUUUGGCCAAAUGGUUCGGAUAGGAAAUAAUAGACUUGUCAUUUAAUUGACCCAUUAUUGUUAAUGGUCCAUUUUAUCAUAUUGUGAGAAUAGUGAAGUUCAAGAUGUUAACUUGUAAAUUGUGUCUUAUGACUUUACUCAAAUUUUGUUGAUGUUGUUUUGCAAUGACGUUGGAGUUUUAUACUAAUAUAAUCCUCAUUUCUACCAAAUUUCCUUAUUACAUUGAUGAUGAUAUAUAAACUUUGAAACGUUGUCGAUUAAAAGAAAAGGAAUCGCUGAGGUUGAAUGUCAUGAUUUCGGACUUGUUAUUAAGAUGACAAUUUGCCCUUAUUAUUUGUUGUUUUGAUAUUGGUAAAUUAUCAUUUUGCCAAUUUAUAUAUACAAUUUGCUGUAUAAUUGAGGAUGCUUUGUUGCUUUGAAAAUUGCAAGUACAUUGGUUUAUGACUCUCAGCUUGUUCAUGUCUUUGAAAUCCUUAUUUAUUAUUUUUUUAUUAAGUUGACUUGUUGAUCAUAUCUUGUUCAAGGAAUUUUUAGAAUUGGGUCUUCUAGUUUGAUAUCUUAAUUACCAAGGUAAUGGGAUAUUGAUUCAAAUGUUAUGUUUGAUAAGUUGUUUGGAUAUCUACUUAAUAUGGGUUUUUAAUCGUACUGCAAAUACAAUUCCAUCUUGCUUCUCUUUUGUAAUGUUAUCUCUGUAUUGCACAUGCUAGAUAGACUAUUAAGUUUUGAUCUUUGUUUCGAAAUUGAUUAGUUUGAUUUGAUCAUGACAUGACAAUGAUUGAACAUUAUUGAAAUGUUGUAUGAUUGAGGCAAUUUAUAUAUUACGAAAAUUGGAAUGAAGUUAUUUUGCUUGAGAUUGAUGUUUUACGUCAAUAUUUUUGUAGAGAAAUCAAUAAAAGGAUGACACAAUUUAACGUGAAAAGGAAAACGAGAAAUUGGUUAUGUCACAGACUUUUCCUUGCAACACAUCCUUUUUUUAUGCUACUUUUGAUCAACUUCGAAAUUCGGUCAUGUGUGUAGUACAGAAUGGACUGUUUGCAUUGAAAUUUUUUUUUCGUAUUUUUUCGAUAUGAAAUAGAAUUAUGGUAAAAUGUUAAACAUGAAACUAUGUUGAUGGAAUGUUGCAGAUUUAUGCAUCAUAUCCUGUUUGUGAUGUCAUUUUGAUAGACCUACUUGACUCCUAAAUUUAUGAAAUUUUAACAUGUUAUACAUUAGGAUGUGAACUCUAAAUCUAGAAAUUUUUCAAAGCAAUGGUUGAAAAUUAUUUUUUGAUGAAUUUUUUUAAUCGCGGGUCUCUACUACAUAAUACUUUUCGUCUAGCCAAAAAAUCUGCCGUCCGUCCCAUUUGAGAUUUAUUUUUUGACCACUUAUAAAAUCUCAAAAAUUAUGAAAUUUUGUGAAAUAGCAUGUUUAUAUGUCUACUUCACAUCUGUAAAUUUUCAUGACGUUUAAGAAUUGGAUCUUAAACGAAAUUGCAAACUAAGGACAACUUGUUGUUUUUGUGACUUCAAAUUAGUGAUUUUUUUUCUUUCUAAAAUAUUGUUUUCACUAAUUUAUAUACACCUCAGGUACCAAUUCUUAGAAGUAUUUAUUUAUUUCACUAUGUAACUAUUUACUAUACAAUUUCUCAUAGUCUAUUAAGUUUUAGGUAACAUUGAUUAAACUAUACAUGGAUGGAAAUAAGUAUUGGUUUAUUUUGUUCAAACCAAUGAUUUUGUUUGGCCAUCAAUUUUGCUUAUGGUAAUUAUUGUGUUUCAAGAUAAAAUUGAUAAGUGGCAUAAGCGUAGCAAUUAAUCAUGUUUUGAUAAGUGGCAUAAGUAUAUUAAUCAUUUUGGACACAAAUGAUUUUCUUUGUGGUUUCAUGUCUUAGGCACAACUGCAUAGAAUUUUUUUUUUCUGCAAAAAUAUAUUUAUGACUAUAUGUUAGUAACAUGUGCUUUUGCAUAAUUCUAUGUUGCCAUAAAUAGUGAGUGUUUGCCCAUGUGGGAGAAUUAAUAUAUGUUGUGGACUUCACACUCAUUAAAUUUUUUUAGGCUUGGGGAUUUCUGAUUUCCUUGUGAGCAAUAAGUUGAACAACAAGUUGAUCAUCACAAAUUUGGUAUGGAAAUACUUCUUGCUGGUUCAAAAUUUCUUAUUGUUGAGGAGCUUGUAAAUCAUUUUGACUAGUUAGUAUACUUGAUUAACUUGAUGACUAAGAAAGAAGCAUUUCGACUGGUAACUCGUCAUUAAAUUAUGUUGUGGCUUCAUAUUCAUUAAAUGUUAUUAGUGAAUGUUGUCGGUAAAUAUGUUGUGGGCUUCAUACUUAUUUCAGUUGUAGAGAUAAAACUUAUGUUAGUUUGUUUUUGUUUUAUCUAUGGUUUAUAUGUUAUUGAUGAACAAGAAACUUUAUUGGUCAGUACAUUUGGUUGAUCUGAUGAUUGAGAAGAACAUCUAGAGGCAGAUAUAUUCUUCAAUACUGGGAGAACAUCUUUAAUGUGUGACCUUGUGUUUUAUAUUUUAAUUAAGUAAACCGAUUAUAAUUAAUUUUUGUCCAUACAGGAUUCCAGAAUUAUAUGCCUUUUGUUACAUUGAGAAAACAAUCAGUUAAAGUUUUAUGAAUUUUCAGUUGCAUGAAUCAUUUCUCUAUAGUUGUCUCUCAUAGAGAUAAAGUCAGAAAAUCAAUAAACUAUGUUGACCUACCAAAUUUUUUUGUUGUAAAUCUCAUAACUAAUGCUUUAUCAGUGGGAGUGUUUAAAAUGAAUUUGUUUCAUUUUAAAAAGGCAUGUUUCGAGUAUAGGACUGAGGCCUUUUGUUGAUUGGACUUGAAUGUGGGAGCAAGGUACUAUGGUUUUAUUUCAUUCAAGUUUACGGCCUGAAUAUUUAGUUGUUGUUUCGAUUCAAUAUCAUAUUAUUCACUUGUAAACAAAACAAGGUGAAGUUUCUGAUUAGUUAUUUCAUUAAUAAUGUUGAUCUUUGCAAAGUAAUGAUAUGAAGUAUGUCGUUUAACUUCAUGGGACCAAAAGACAUGUGGGAGCAAUAAUGGUAUUGUUAAGCUUCCAUCUUAAAACCCUCCAAUUUGUAACUUUAUAAUUGAUGAGAUAGGUUUUGUGAUUUUAGAGUACGAAUGGAAAUAGCUUGCAUCAUGUGUGCUAAAGUUCGAACUAAUGAAUCAUUAUAGUUAGAUGAAAAGUCGUGUAUUUCUAAUGUUAAUCAACGAUCACCUUUACUUGUAUGGAACAUAUUAGUGAUUAGCUUGAUUAUACUCAUGUGGGAGAAUGUAAGAGUUUUCCAUAAGGUGAGUGAGUAAGAACAAUCUAUCACUUAAGGAUGGAUAUGUGGACAUACAAGUCGAAUGGACUGACAUUGGUAUUGGACUUAGUAAUGUUUAAACCGGUAUUGAACAUUAUGGAGGGAAAACCAAAGAACUUAAUUUCGAAAUAAGAGGCAGUUACAACCUCUUGGAAGUGGAUAGAAACUGCUACCAUGAUAGGAGGAGCAAUUAGAAUCCUAUGAUUAAACAUGUCUUGGCCUCUCUUCUUGGUUUUACUUGUUCAUAAAGCUUGUCCUAUUAAAAGCAGAACUCUGUCGAAACUUAGAGAAGAGAAGGUCAACACCAGACAUUCAUCAUGCCAGGUACGAACUGAUAUCAUUCUGGGUAAUUUUUUAUUAUAUGUUCUGACUGGUAGAGCAUGGUUUAAUGGCUUUAUUGUUUUCAAUAGUGCUCAAUUAUAUGUUUUCAAUGUGUACUUUUGCCUUGCAUUUUUGUCCACCGUACAUAGAUCGGGCCACACACAGGUGAUUGCCAUACAUCCUUAACCGUAUACGCAGACCAGAUAAUCCAUGAGUUCGGUAUUGAGCCAGUGACAAUACCCAGAUCUACAAGAUUAGGGAAGACGUAAGGUAAUCCAUUAAUGAAGAAAACCUUAGAUACAACAGAAACUAUUCAACCAAUUCACUUUUAGUUUCUUUCAUCAAGACCGACCCCAACCAUUGCAAUUUGCAAGACCAUACUUCUAGUAACAUAAGCUUUGGCGCGAUGUUUACAUCAUUGCGAGCAGGCCUCGAAAUGAGAAAUCUCUCUGCAAGUUGGGUAAAGCUCCAUAUAUCCAAUCUUUUUAUAUAGUCAAUCAUAUGAGUCUAAGGAAUCUUUUGUUCUCUAUAAUCCAGAAGCUAGUUAUCACAACCUAAGCAAUCAAAACAUUUGUGAAAGCUUUUCAUUUAGUGACCAACUAUGGUGGAAGCAUCGAUAUGUUAUUGUCAGAUAGGCCCAGCUCAGUGAGUGAACUAAGAUUUUUAAACUCCUGCAUGCCAACAAUAACAAGGACAAUCAAGAAUUCAGAUCGUAAUUAAAUUAACGUACCACAAGAAGGAAAGAAGUUCUUUGAAGUACAUGAUUUAUGAACUGAGAACCAAAAUCUUAUCGAGCCAUUUAGAGGAUUUCCUUGGACUGCCAAAGGCAAGCCCCACAAUUUUUCCGGAGUACAUAAAAACUUAGUUUAUACCAUAUGCAACGUGAAACUUAAUUUAUUACAUGAGACUUGAACCUAGGACCUAAACCUUUACCCAUCUCCUCACAGUGCCACAUGAACAAAGGCUCUUUGGAAAAGAAAAUCACCUUAUUUUAAUGAUGUCGUUUUAAGAAUACAUCCGCUUAUUAAAAUUUGCGUUCUAAAGAAUGCUUAUUGUUUUCUUUUGUACAAACCAAUAUUUUAUCGUUUAACAAAUUUAUGUUCCUUAGUUUUAAAUACUAUAGCAAGACACUAAUGCCCUAAUGACAGCCACGGCUAUGCCUCCGUGCAGGGUGCCUCCCCAAAUGGCAGGCAUGGCUGCAACAAUUAGGUUUUCUUUUGUUUCUGCUUGUCAUAAGUUCACUAACCUUAGGUAAAGCUCCUGCAAAUGUAGUAAGCUAGAAAAUGCGGGAUGCUGUGGUAAUGAAGCCACGUUACCACUUAGAUAUGGAAUCUGAAGCAUAGGAGCUGCUUGAAAUCCUUUUAGUGGAAUCUACAAGUCAAGAAAUAAGGAGGGCACUCACAUCUUUUCGUUUGAUAUACAAUGUUUGAGCCAUUACUUGACAGAUUAAAUUUUUGGAACCACAUCCCUCCUUUGUUUACUAAAAUUCUAAUAUCUCAUGAAUAUGCAUUGACAAGACAAGAAAAAGGCGAUUGUACCAGCUAAGUGUAUUUACCUGUCUUGCUGGAUUACUGUCCAGCUUCAAACACAAAAUGUUAGGAAGCAACCGUAUAAUUGCACCUUAUCAGUCUGUAAUCUUGUUCCUGGAUAAAAUUAAAGUCUGCACAUUUGGACAAAUAUAAGGAUGACUUGCAUUCAGAACGGUAAUUAGCUAAAACUAAAACUUAUAGGAGAAAUCGGCCAACCCUUAUAAUUUAAAGAGGAAAUUGACGAAGACCUCUUUAAUUAUAAUUUAGUUGUCACAUUUUAAGCUCUUCUAAAUUUAGUAACUUUUUGCAAAAUUAAUUUCUCAUUGAUAAUUUUAACUGGAUUUAUUUUGAAAAUGAUACGUACUCGUGUCGCAUGUUCUCACUUCUCGUCAUUUGAUAA
RNAcentral lists this small RNA (7118 nucleotides) under Malus domestica (apple). RNAcentral describes it as "sRNA MD03G0185400". Lineage: Eukaryota; Viridiplantae; Streptophyta; Magnoliopsida; Rosales; Rosaceae. The record is from RNAcentral.